Molecule: ribosomal RNA, 2814 nt
Filed under: Mesorhizobium sp.
Lineage: Bacteria; Pseudomonadati; Pseudomonadota; Alphaproteobacteria; Hyphomicrobiales; Phyllobacteriaceae
Description: 23S ribosomal RNA
Rfam family: Bacterial large subunit ribosomal RNA
Source: RNAcentral
GAUCAAGUGUCUUAAGGGCAAUUGGUGGAUGCCUUGGCAUGCACAGGCGAUGAAGGACGUGAUACGCUGCGAUAAGCUACGGGGAGGUGCGAAUACCCUUUGAUCCGUAGAUUUCCGAAUGGGGAAACCCACCUAAGGUGCUUGGAAAAUCAGAGUAGCAGGGCAACCUGCUGCUGUGGUUUCCAAGUAUCGAUAAUAGGUAACUUACCCUGAAUAAAAUAGGGGUAAAGUGGCGAACGCGGGGAACUGAAACAUCUAAGUACCCGUAGGAAAGGACAUCAACCGAGACUCCGGCAGUAGUGGCGAGCGAACCCGGACCAGGCCAGUGGCGAUGAUGAGACAAGCGGAACCUUCUGGAAAGUAGGGCCAUAGUGGGUGACAGCCCCGUACGCGUAAUGCAAAUCAUCGUCCUCGAGUAAGGCGGGACACGUGAAAUCCUGUCUGAAAUUGGGGGGACCACCCUCCAAGCCUAAGUACUCGUGCAUGACCGAUAGCGAACUAGUACCGUGAGGGAAAGGUGAAAAGCACCCCGACAAGGGGAGUGAAAGAGUGCCUGAAACCGAUUGCCUACAAACAGUGGGAGUCCAAGGUUCGUCCUGGGUGACCACGUACCUUUUGUAUAAUGGGUCAGCGACUUAGUGUGACGAGCAAGCUUAAACCGCUAGGUGUAGGCGCAGCGAAAGCGAGUCUGAACAGGGCGUUCAGUUCGUCGCAUUAGACCCGAAACCGAGUGAUCUAGCCAUGAGCAGGUUGAAGGUAAGGUAACACUUACUGGAGGACCGAACCCAUAACUGUUGCAAUAGUUCGGGAUGACUUGUGGCUAGGGGUGAAAGGCCAAUCAAACUCGGAAAUAGCUGGUUCUCCGCGAAAUCUAUUUAGGUAGAGCGUCGACCGAAUACCCCAGGGGGUAGAGCACUGGAUGGGCUAGGGGUCCUCACCGGAUUACCAAACCUAACCAAACUCCGAAUACCUGGGAGUACUAGUCGGCAGACACACGGCGGGUGCUAACGUCCGUCGUGAAAAGGGAAACAACCCUGACCUACAGCUAAGGUCCCCAAGUUAUGGCUAAGUGGGAAAGGAUGUGAGGAUCCCAAAACAACCAGGAUGUUGGCUUAGAAGCAGCCAUCAUUUAAAGAAAGCGUAACAGCUCACUGGUCUAAAUAAGGGUCUUUGCGCCGAAAAUGUAACGGGGCUCAAGCCAUACACCGAAGCUUAGGGUUUGCAGCAAUGCAAGCGGUAGCGGAGCGUUCUGUAAGCUGAUGAAGCCAUACCCGUGAGGGGUGGUGGAGGUAUCAGAAGUGCGAAUGCUGACAUGAGUAACGUAAGGGGAGUGAGAGACUCCCCCGCCGAAAGUCCAAGGGUUCCUGCUUAAAGCUAAUCUGAGCAGGGUUAGCCGGCCCCUAAGUCGAGGCAGAAAUGCGUAGACGAUGGGAACCACGUUAAUAUUCGUGGGCCUGGAGGAAGUGACGGAUCAUUGAGGUAGUCCAAUCUUAUCGGAUUGAAAGGGCUGCUGCGUGGUUCCAGGAAAUAGCUCCUCCUUAUAGACCGUACCCGAAACCGACACUGGUGGACUGGUAGAGUAUACCAAGGCGCUUGAGAGAACUAUGCUGAAGGAACUCGGCAAAUUGCACGCGUAACUUCGGAAGAAGCGUGACCCUUUUCCACGCAAGUGGAGGAGGGUGGCACAGACCAGGGGGUAGCGACUGUUUAUCAAAAACACAGGGCUCUGCGAAGUCGCAAGACGACGUAUAGGGUCUGACGCCUGCCCGGUGCUGGAAGGUUAAGAGGAGGGGUGCAAGCUCUGAAUCGAAGCCCCAGUAAACGGCGGCCGUAACUAUAACGGUCCUAAGGUAGCGAAAUUCCUUGUCGGGUAAGUUCCGACCUGCACGAAUGGCGUAACGACUUCCCCGCUGUCUCCAGCAUAGACUCAGUGAAAUUGAAUUCCCCGUGAAGAUGCGGGGUUCCUGCGGUUAGACGGAAAGACCCCGUGCACCUUUACUAUAGCUUUACAUUGGCAUUCGUAGUGGCAUGUGUAGGAUAGGUGGUAGGCUUUGAAACCUGGGCGCCAGCUCAGGUGGAGCCACCCUUGAAAUACCACCCUUAUCACUAUGGAUGUCUAACCGCGGCCCGUUAUCCGGGUCCGGGACAAUGUAUGGUGGGUAGUUUGACUGGGGCGGUCGCCUCCUAAAGAGUAACGGAGGCGCGCGAUGGUGGGCUCAGAACGGUCGGAAAUCGUUCGCUGAGUGCAAUGGCAUAAGCCUGCCUGACUGCGAGACUGACAAGUCGAGCAGAGACGAAAGUCGGUCAUAGUGAUCCGGUGGUCCCGCGUGGAAGGGCCAUCGCUCAACGGAUAAAAGGUACGCCGGGGAUAACAGGCUGAUGACCCCCAAGAGUCCAUAUCGACGGGGUUGUUUGGCACCUCGAUGUCGACUCAUCGCAUCCUGGGGCUGGAGCAGGUCCCAAGGGUAUGGCUGUUCGCCAUUUAAAGCGGUACGUGAGUUGGGUUCAGAACGUCGUGAGACAGUUCGGUCCCUAUCUGCCGUGGGUGUAGGAAUAUUGAAAGGAUCUGUCCCUAGUACGAGAGGACCGGGAUGGACGGAUCUCUGGUGGACCUGUUGUGGCGCCAGCCGCAUAGCAGGGUAGCUAUAUCCGGACGGGAUAACCGCUGAAGGCAUCUAAGCGGGAAACCCACCUUAAAACGAGUAUUCCCUGAGAACCGUGGAAGACGACCACGUUGAUAGGCCGGGUGUGGAAGAGCGGCAACGCUUGAAGCUUACCGGUACUAAUAGUUCGAUCGGCUUGAUCGUUCUCAUU